UCGAGCGGACAGAUGGGAGCUUGCUCCCUGAUGUUAGCGGCGGACGGGUGAGUAACACGUGGGUAACCUGCCUGUAAGACUGGGAUAACUCCGGGAAACCGGGGCUAAUACCGGAUGCUUGUUUGAACCGCAUGGUUCAAACAUAAAAGGUGGCUUCGGCUACCACUUACAGAUGGACCCGCGGCGCAUUAGCUAGUUGGUGAGGUAAUGGCUCACCAAGGCAACGAUGCGUAGCCGACCUGAGAGGGUGAUCGGCCACACUGGGACUGAGACACGGCCCAGACUCCUACGGGAGGCAGCAGUAGGGAAUCUUCCGCAAUGGACGAAAGUCUGACGGAGCAACGCCGCGUGAGUGAUGAAGGUUUUCGGAUCGUAAAGCUCUGUUGUUAGGGAAGAACAAGUACCGUUCGAAUAGGGCGGUACCUUGACGGUACCUAACCAGAAAGCCACGGCUAACUACGUGCCAGCAGCCGCGGUAAUACGUAGGUGGCAAGCGUUGUCCGGA
This 505-nucleotide ribosomal RNA is filed under the name Bacillus subtilis. Its description in RNAcentral is "bacterial SSU rRNA". It matches the Rfam family "Bacterial small subunit ribosomal RNA", at positions 62 to 549 of the family's 1533-position model. Lineage: Bacteria; Bacillati; Bacillota; Bacilli; Caryophanales; Bacillaceae. The record is from RNAcentral.